CCUACGGGUGGCAGCAGUGAGGAAUAUUGGUCAAUGGGCGCGAGCCUGAACCAGCCAAGUAGCGUGAAGGAUGACUGCCCUACGGGUUGUAAACUUCUUUUAUAAAGGAAUAAAGUGAGGCACGUGUGCCUGUUGGUAUGUACUUUAUGAAUAAGGAUCGGCUAACUCCGUGCCAGCAGCCGCGGUAAUACGGAGGAUCCGAGCGUUAUCCGGAUUUAUUGGGUUUAAAGGGUGCGUAGAGGGGAGUGUAAAUCUGGGGGGAAAGGGGGGGGCUCAACCCCCGGACGGCCGUUGAAACUGGCAGGCUUGAGUGCAGGAGAGGUAGGUGGAAUUCGUGGUGUAGCGGUGAAAUGCGUAGAUAUUAGGAGGAACACCAGUGGCGAAGGCAGCUUACUGGACUGUAACUGACGUUGAGGCACGAAAGCGUGGGGAGCAAACAGGAUUAGAUACCCCUGUAGUC
RNAcentral lists this ribosomal RNA (460 nucleotides) under uncultured bacterium. Its description in RNAcentral is "partial 16S ribosomal RNA". It matches the Rfam family "Bacterial small subunit ribosomal RNA", at positions 338 to 795 of the family's 1533-position model. The record is from RNAcentral.